RNAcentral lists this transfer RNA (79 nucleotides) under Echinostoma caproni. It matches the Rfam family "tRNA". From Rfam's summary of the family: Transfer RNA (tRNA) molecules are approximately 80 nucleotides in length. Their secondary structure includes four short double-helical elements and three loops (D, anti-codon, and T loops). Further hydrogen bonds mediate the characteristic L-shaped molecular structure. tRNAs have two regions of fundamental functional importance: the anti-codon, which is responsible for specific mRNA codon recognition, and the 3' end, to which the tRNAs corresponding amino acid is attached (by aminoacyl-tRNA synthetases). tRNAs cope with the degeneracy of the genetic code in two manners: having more than one tRNA (with a specific anti-codon) for a particular amino acid; and 'wobble' base-pairing, i.e. permitting non-standard base-pairing at the 3rd anti-codon position. The record is from Rfam by way of RNAcentral. Lineage: Eukaryota; Metazoa; Platyhelminthes; Trematoda; Plagiorchiida; Echinostomatidae.
AGCUCAAUAGCCUUGGUAGAGCGUGCGCAUAUAAAGCGUAGGCGACGUUCAUGCGUGGGUUCGAAUCCCACUAAGGCUA